Molecule: long non-coding RNA, 225 nt
Organism: Neopelma chrysocephalum (saffron-crested tyrant-manakin)
Lineage: Eukaryota; Metazoa; Chordata; Aves; Passeriformes; Pipridae
Exons: 3
Source: RefSeq, a predicted model, not a curated record
UGAAGUGCAAAGGAAUCUAGAACAUUCAAAAGGAAAAGUAGCACAGUUAGAAGAAAAACUGUCUGCUGCCGAGAGAGAGAAAGUUGUAGAAAAGUCUGACCCUGAAAACCUCCUAGAAUCCAUCACAGAGCUCAGUAGUGUUACAGAAACUGCUGAGAAAUACAAAGCCAAUGUUGCUCAGCUGGAGGAGACACUGAUUAAGAAAGACCAAGAUAUUGAGAUCCU